Long non-coding RNA from Oncorhynchus tshawytscha (Chinook salmon), 188 nucleotides. RefSeq lists it as uncharacterized. The record is from RefSeq and is a predicted model, not a curated record. Lineage: Eukaryota; Metazoa; Chordata; Actinopteri; Salmoniformes; Salmonidae. The transcript is spliced from 2 exons.
ACCAACUGUCUGCUAUGUACGGUAGGUGUAGGACCUAGCAGGAGGAUAGUUACAUAAUCUAUGAAAACCAACUGUCUGCUAUGUACGGUAGGUGUAGGACCUAGCAGGAGGAUAAUUACAUAAUCUAUGAAAACCAACUGUCUGCUAUGUACUGUAGGUGUAGGACUUAGUAGGAGCUUAAACUUCAU